Pongo abelii (Sumatran orangutan) is the source of this 104-nucleotide small nucleolar RNA. NCBI's taxonomy places the organism in Eukaryota, Metazoa, Chordata, Mammalia, Primates, Hominidae. The record is from Ensembl.
AUCCUUUUGUGGUUCAUAAGCGUGAAGACUGGGUUUUCACUCUCAUGUGUAAGAUGUGCCUCCCUCAAACCUUGUUACAACAUUGGCAUAUUACCCAUCUGAUG